This is a non-coding RNA of Nicotiana tabacum (common tobacco), 1926 nucleotides long. The record is from RefSeq and is a predicted model, not a curated record. NCBI's taxonomy places the organism in Eukaryota, Viridiplantae, Streptophyta, Magnoliopsida, Solanales, Solanaceae.
UAGAGGUUGCAACCGACUGGUAAUUGAACAAGACUAUGAUGAAGAUGUGAGACCUUAUAUUGAGCACUUGAUGGAUGGUCAAAACUACUCUAGAGCCCAGCCAUAUAUUGAGCAAUUGAUGGAUAGUCAGAAUUACUCUAACGCCCAAGCACAUGAUGGUCAAUCUAAUGAGUUGAAUAGUUCUUAUGGUGGCACUGAGAUUCAACAUGAUGACGAGUCAGGUAAUUCAGAAGCAAAAAAGGUUCAUGGGCCUACUUUACUAAAAGAUAUUUGGAAACUUCCGCCGGGAAAGAUAAUUGAUGUGCCAUUUAAUAAUCGUAACUAAGCUAUUGAAAAAGAGGGUCGAAAGCUUGCUAGCUUUCUAGGAAUUAUCGCCAGAACUAACACCUCUACAUGUAGAUGAUUGGAGAAAUUUUGACAACGAAGAAAAGAAGAAAUUGGUCAAUUUUGCGAGGAAGAAAUUCUCUAUCCCAAAACGUGGAGAAGCGUGGGUCUUAAAGUCACUAGGAAAGAAAUGGAAAGAUUACAAGUGCAAUUUGAAGGGUGAGUACGUGAAAAAACAUAAGACUAAAGAUGCUUUACUAAAAUAUAGACCAAGUCGAAUACCGAGGGAUCAAUGGAGGGGUCUUGUCUCUUAUUGGCUUUCUGAUAAAGCUAAGGUAUCAACCUUAAAAAUUCUCCUAGUUUUCUCAUUUUCAUAGCGUUUUGAUUUUAGGUAUGCUCAAUUUUUGUUUAAAGUUUAUAAGAUAUUAUUUUAAUAUUUCAAUGAUAAAGACGUACCCAAGCAAAUAGAAAUAAUAGGUCCAAGAAAAUGAUGCCUCACACAGGAGGAUCAAAAAGUAUUGCCACCUUGAUGAAUGAGCAGGUAAACCUGUGAAAACUAUAAACUAUAAUAUUUUAAACUUUUUUUGUCAUGCAUAUAUGAUAUUAUUUUUUUGUAUUAGGCUGUAAACGGGAUAGAGCCUACACGAGUAGAUAUUUUCCUAUUAACUCAUAAAAAACUUAAGGAUGGUAGGUCACUUGAUGAUGAUUCUGUCAAGACAAUCGUAAGAUUUAUUCUUUCUUUAUUUUUUUGGUUUGAUGACUCCGUUAAACAAUGUGCAUUUUUUCCUAUUCAUGAAUACCAAAGUGGAUUUAUUGUGUAUUCUAUGGUCAGGAAAUGAUAAAUGAAAGGAUGAGCAAUAGUGAAAGAUCUACUGAGCAACCUCCUCGUAGUGUUGCUUGGGAAGGCGAUGUGUAUUCCCAGGUGUUGGGAAAUAAAAAAAAAGUGGGUAUGUUCGUGGUUUAGGACUUGGUCCAACUCCUUCUGUUCUAUGGGGUAGUAGGUCUUUCUUAAGAAAUAUUGUUGCAGAUGAUUCUUCUAAUGAGGUUAUACAAAGGUUAGAACAAUAGAUAAUCGAGUUAAAGGAGAAACAAAAUGAUGAAAUGAAUAUUAUGAAACAAAAUCAGGAGAAUAUGCAAUCAGAAUUACUCCAAAUAAGACAAUUAAUGCGCAAAUAUUCUCCUAAUGCAUCUAUGCCUCAAAGCAGCAAUGGCACCUUAGCUGAAUAGGUAACUCCAUUUAAUAAACUUUAGAUAUUUUAAAUGAAAUUCUAAUCAUAUAAAAGUAUUGUUAUUUAACAUGCUAAUAUUUUUUAGAUCCCCGACGCCAAUAGUGGACAUGAACGAGUACAACAAACAUCAAGAAUGCUUAGUGUUGCUGAAAAUGAUCAACAUUCUCAUGGUCAUACAAUCUAAUGUUUAAUAAUUUAGCGGUUGGAAGAUUUCAAAAUGAUGAAAAGUUGCGGAAAUCAUUUGAAGACCAUCAUUCUGGAUUAUUACUGUGAUGACAUUAGCUAUUUAGUCCAAACAAUAUAUUUUUAUGUUUUAAGUUACUGUGAUAUUAAUAUUUUUGAUUAGUACUUCCUUUUGAUUGUUAAGAUUUAA